ACACUCCUGCGGGAGGCAGCAGUGGGGAAUUUUGGACAAUGGGCGAAAGCCUGAUCCAGCAAUGCCGCGUGAGUGAAGAAGGCCUUCGGGUUGUAAAGCUCUUUUGUCAGGGAAGAAACGGUGAAAGCUAAUAUCUUUUGCUAAUGACGGUACCUGAAGACUAAGCACCGGCUAACUACGUGCCAGCAGCCGCGGUAAUACGUAGGGUGCAAGCGUUAAUCGGAAUUACUGGGCGUAAAGCGUGCGCAGGCGGUUUUGUAAGUCUGAUGUGAAAUCCCCGGGCUCAACCUGGGAAUUGCAUUGGAGACUGCAAGGCUAGAAUCUGGCAGAGGGGGGUAGAAUUCCACGUGUAGCAGUGAAAUGCGUAGAUAUGUGGAGGAACACCGAUGGCGAAGGCAGCCCCCUGGGUCAAGAUUGGCGCUCAUGCACGAAAGCGUGGGGAGCAAACAGGAUUAGAAACCCCAGGAGUCCC
Molecule: ribosomal RNA, 472 nt
Filed under: uncultured organism
Description: partial 16S ribosomal RNA
Rfam family: Bacterial small subunit ribosomal RNA
Source: RNAcentral